UCGGGAAUAUUGGGCAAUGGGCGGAAGCCUGACCCAGCCAUACCGCGUGCAGGAAGAAGGUCCCAUGGAUUGUAAACUGCUUUUGUUUGGGACGAAAAAGAGGGUUCGCCCUUUAUUGACGGUACCAGACGAAUAAGCCACGGCUAACUACGUGCCAGCAGCCGCGGUAAUACGUAGGUGGCAAGCGUUAUCCGGAUUUACUGGGUUUAAAGGGUGCGUAGGCGGGGAAAUUAGUCAGGGGGGAAAGCU
RNAcentral lists this ribosomal RNA (249 nucleotides) under uncultured Cytophagaceae bacterium. RNAcentral's name for it is "partial 16S ribosomal RNA". It matches the Rfam family "Bacterial small subunit ribosomal RNA", at positions 355 to 602 of the family's 1533-position model. The record is from RNAcentral. Lineage: Bacteria; Pseudomonadati; Bacteroidota; Cytophagia; Cytophagales; Cytophagaceae.